UCUUAUCCUAUCAAAACUCUUCGCAGUGAUAAUGCCUUGGAGUAUAAAGACUCCACUUUUCUUUCCUUUCUCUUCCAAGAGGGCACUCUUGUUCAACGCUCUUGUCCUCCUCGUACUUCUCAACAAAAUGGGUGUGCUAAGAGCAAACAUUAUCACAUUUUUGACUCAGUUCGUUCGUGCUCUCCUUCUUUCUGCCUCCUAUUCUAAAAAAUUUUGGUUUAAUUAUGUUCCCAGUUACAAUGGGUCAUAGUUUUUGUCCAAUUAGAAAACUUUUCAUUUGAUUUGUCCAAGUGAUGUAGUUUGUUCCAUCAAGUAUUGUGCUAAUGGGUUUGAUAAUAUGGUCUCUCUGAAAAAAAAUCUCACUUGUAAGAGUAACUGAGUAAGCAGGAGCGUCAACCACAAAUCACGGCUAACGUGGACGAAUCGGGUUUGCAGUUGGAGUUUCGUCGAAUCUGGUUUGGAUUCGUGGCUGGGGUUGCGAACUUGCAAACUCGACUUGAGUUCGUGGUUGGAUUGCGACUGGUUGCAAAACACGGAUGCGUGACGGACGAAGACGAACGUGAAUCAGAGUUGAGAACGGACGUGUGACGGACGCGCGAUUCUGGGUUCGACGGAUCUGGGUUCGUCGAAUUUGGGUUCGUCGGAUCUGGUUUGCAAGAGUCCAACAUGUGGAUUGUUGAACGGAGACGAGGUUCGUGACUGUGAGAUAUAUUCUUCAGAUCUGAAAAAGAGACUUGCAUACAGAGACCGAUAGGGGACGACAUGAGAUCUAAUAGUCGUCAAUGGCUUCACGGCAGAGAUCUCGACAGCGGCGGCAAGAGGUACGCUGGAUCUCGACGGCGGCGACUAUACAAUAACCCUAGGUUAAAAGUUCUGAUACCAUGUUAAUCAAUAUGUGGAUCAAUAUUUUAUUGAUUAAGAUUUCUAUGUAAUUUUACAACAAUGUGACUAAACAAAUAAGAACCCUAUACAACAUAACUAAGGUAACAAAUGUAAUUAAGCCUAAAAGGAAGAAUUUACAUUAAUAAUUUUCAUUGAACAAUUUAAAGAAGGGGGAAGUAGUUAUUUAUGACCAUAUGACAUUCAUGCUUCAAGCCAAACAUAUGCUUUUCAUUUUUUCAAAGUCAUAAACAAUUAAUUACGAUAACACACUAUAAUUAUCCUAAAAAGAAAAAUAAUAUUAUAUUUUGUGAAAGUUUUUUAUUUUCCGUCUUUUCCGGUCAAAAAUGCGAAAUUUUCUAUUUUGUGACAGUUUUUUAUUUUCCCAUUCAUUUUUUGAGAUAUAUACCUGUCAUAGUAGACAAGUUUUCUUCUAGUGAAUAAUAACAAUAAUAGCACACAAUGAAAUUGUUUAUGGGCUAAACUGAGAGUUUUGAAGUAUGAAACUUCGUGGGGUUAAAAGAAACAUGUACUUCAAAUGCAAAAUUAUUGCUUAAUCUAAAAUUAGGAAGUCUGUUUUUUGGUGCAAACUUAUUAAGUUAUGGCUUUUCAAUUGGAUUGGUUGGCUAAAUCACAAUUGCAAGAAGAAAGGUUUAGUCCAUUCAAAGUUCUCCAUCAUAAAGUGUUGAUCACUGAAAUCGAAGUUUGGGAUAGUCUUAAUCGAUCAGGCGGAAUAUGUACUCAUCAGGAUAUGUUCACCAAGAUCGGUCUCAAGCUAGGGCGUUUUAAUCGGAUUGGAUGGAUAUAUAUUUGUUAUGUGAUGAGUUUGUGCUCCCAACAAAGUGAAACAUGAUGUAAGUAAAAAGUUACAAAUUUGUAUGAAUGAUCCAUCUUUAGGGGUUACAAUUGUACAAAGAUGAUCAUUCGUAUCGAGAAACUCUUAUUUUGUAAUUCGUAAACAUUUUUAUCUUUCUUUUAAAUAAUUUUCGUAAGGUUAAAAUAUAAAAAACUUACAUUAUAAGUUUGGUGACAUUGUUAAUCUUUAUUUUGUUUUUAUUAAAAAUGUGUUCUAAUAAAUUUUUAACGAUUAAAUUUAAAUUUUUUAAAAAAUAAUUCUUCAAUUUAUAUAUACUAGAACUCUAAAUCCAAAAUUUUUAAAAAUAAAAAUAUCAAGUUCAACUAAAUAAUCACACACGUUCUACAAAGUUUAAGAAUUAAAAUUGUAAACUUAACCUUAAAGAAUUGAAUUUUGUUGAGUUGUUUAAAAAAUAUUUAUAUUCUCUCAAAAGUUGUAUUAAUAUUUUUGACAUUUUUCUAAAUAUUUUGAAUUACCUUUGAGAACAAAUUUGUUUGAAUGAUGGAUGGAAAUUGGGCUAAAUGGGUGUAGCAAUGACUUGUAAUGAUUUCACCUGUCCUUUUUAGUCUCCAUUUUCCAUUGGAGUUCAUCACCAUCACUAACUUUCGAGUAAAAAUUAUGUUUAUGUCCACGACUUUUAUCCAAAUGUAUGUUUUAAAAAAACUAAACAUGACUUCUUUCAAAAUUGACUUUGUUUUUCCUUUCAAAGUCCGACCGAGGAACUUUUUCUUUUGUUCUUACGCAAUUUCUACUCCAAAGCAAUUUUAAAGAGUAUCAACCAAAAUGUUACAACUUUAGAAAGAAUUAAUAUUUUAAGAACAAAUGGGACAAACUCUAAAGGUUCUUUUAUUUUUCUUUGAAAAAGAACUUAUCAAAGUAAAUUUUUUAAGUCAAUAAAUGUGCAAGCCAAUAAAUUGGAAGCUUAACAUGACCUAGUAAAUAACACGUUUAUUUUAUAGGAGGUAAUUAAUAGCUUUUAACCCAAAAACUAAACAUGAGUGUUAAUAUAUAUAAUGUUUUAUUGAAGAAAAAAACAAUUGAUAUUUAUGAAGGAGAAAUGAGAGUGAAAAAGGGUGGUAUAGUUAGUGAGGUUGUUGGAAUUUUGAAUGAAAGAGAAGAUUGUUUAAGCUAUGGUAUUGAAGAAAUAAAUAGAGUCAUUAGUGACAAAAGAAACAAUUAAUUUAGUGAGAAUUAAAAUUGAGAGAGAUUGAAAGGGAAAAAAAGAAGAAGAUAAGAGUUUAAGUUAUGGGGUUUUAUUUUACAUUUAUAAGAUUUCCAUUUUCAAUCAAGUGUUUCAUAUAAUUUAAUUAAUUAGUUGACUUUAAUAUCUUCCUAUCAAUCUAUAAUGGCAUCUGAGUCUUACAUUUAUUCACAUGUUUCUUGUUGAGCUAUUGUACAAAAGUUAGUAGAGGAAGAAAGUUCAUAUUAAUUUUGUGUAAUAUAAUAAUUGAGUAGUUAACUUAUUUGAUCUUUAUGAUGUUGAAUUGUGUCCAAAUAGGAUACCUACUGACUCAGCAAAAAGAAAAAUACCAACUAGGAAAUUUCAUAUUUGAGUCUUGGAAAUGGAGUUAGCUUUUGAACAACCAUGCUCCACCAGCCUAACAAAAGUACCUAAUAUGUCCCAAUCUAGAAAAAAUACCAAAGGGGCAUUUCCCAAUCUAAUGCGUUAAAUGAUAAUUUUAAUGUAACUUUGAAAUUCUAUUAGAAAGGACUUAUACCUAUCAAUGCAACACUAUCAAUGCAACAUGAUAGUUUCAAAAAAGAGUAAAUUUAUUCUAAUACUCAAACUCUCAACUUGCUACACUUAAUUAUACCGCACCCAUGUACAAAUCUUAACAUCUUACAAUCCAAUUUUCUCACCAAAAUUGAAUUUUAUAUUUGGCCAUUCAACAAUAACUAUUAAUUAGUUAUAGAAAGGUUUGUACAAGUGUGUGACAACAACUAGUUAGAAUAUAAUUAACUUGUUAACUUUUAGUCAUUCAACUUGAGAUUGUGUAUUUAAUAUUCCGUAAAUUUUUUGAAUAACAUAUAUCACUAAUUUUUUUAAUUUCAUUAAAAUAUAGUUGAUGGAAGAUCUACUCAGUACAAAAUUAAAAGCUCAAAGUUCUAUUACGUUUAAGUUAUAUGUAGUGACUAUAAAGUGGCUAAUUAAUUUUAGUUUAAAAAAUUUCAAGAUGUUAUAUUGUGGUUGAGAAAUUUAUUAUACAUUUUCUAAAAGCUCUGGAAUUAGUCAAAUUUAAAUUUGUAAUUGAUAAAAAUAUAUAUGUAUUUAGAAUAAAAAUGGCAUGUAUGUUUUGCUUGUGAUCUGAAAAGAGAUGAUCAAUUAGGCAAUCCAUUUAUAAUAAAACAGAGGUUAACUAUAAAUUUCAGCCUUUCCAUUUUGAGGUAGUCAUGAAUAUAAUAAUCUAACAUAUAAAAUAUUAACAAAUAUAAUAUCAUAUAGUUUUAUUUUUAUAAAUAUAGUAAAAUUUAAUUAAACUUAAAAGUUUAUUGUAGAUCAUAUAGCUAGUAAAAACUUUAUCAAUGGUAGACCAUAACCCAAUAACAAAAAUCCGUUAAAGAUAGACUAUAUCAUUAACUAAUAAAUGUCCAUCGACGAUAGAAUUUAUCACAUAUAGACUUUGUUAUAUUUACAAUUUUUUUAAGAAUGUUCCUACAUACUUAAUCAUUAACUCUAAAAGCAUUACCUAUUGUAACUACUCUAGAUUUUAUAUAUAUGCCGUAGACUUUGUUAUAUUUAUAAUUUUUUUAAAAUAUUCCUAUAUGUGAUACACUAUUAAGAAUGUAUUGUAUAAAUUGAAAGUUUAUGGGUUGGUAAGCAAUUUCAUUAUAAUUCUAAGUCAUCGUUUAUCCUCUUGUUUUUCUUGCUUUUAGAGCGAUUUGAAGCCUUAAUUUGAUCGAUUCCUUAUUUAUGUUGCUCCAACGGAGGAGUUCGAACUACAAUUCCUUAUUUAUGUAAUUCCAUACAAUAUUGGUCUACCACUGAUAGACUAUACGAAGGGUAUCAGUGAUACAAGUCUAUCAGUGAUAGUUUUACUAUAUUUGCAAUUUUUCUAAAAUUUUGCUAUAUCCUUCAUUAUCAUUGUUGAAAUGGUUAUCCAUUCCAAUUUUCGUUCAAUAUUUAUGUCAAUUGAACUAUGAAAUUGGACUUGUAAGAAUGAUACAUGAAAGGUUGAAAUUUGAUGGAAAUGAAAUUGAUUUACUUCAAAUUCAUCUAUAGGAAGAAGUAAUUUGAACGAAAAGCAUCUAAUUCAUUAUAGUGAAUUGAAAGGUUGAAAAAUGAAUGGCAUCCACGUAAGUAGAUUUGAUUGCCAAAGCAUUUGCUUUUAGAGCUUCCGUUAUGAUUCCACGUGUCAUUCUCACAUCACAUCUACACCCCUCAAAUUAUUUUUAAAUUAAAUCCUCCCAUUUAUUUUCUUCUUGGAAUUGUCAUGAAUAUAAAAAAUAAUAAUAAUAAAUCUAUUUACAAAACAUAGAAUAAAAAAAAUUUAAUAGGAUCGGAAAUUUUCCUAUAUUUUAUAAUUUAAAAUAUCUUUUUUUAUUCGAUAAGAAUAAUUACUCAAACCCUUCCAUUUUAAAACAUAGAUUUCAUCAUUUUCAUCUCAAUUAGCUUGCCCUAUUUUGACACAUUGGUCCAAUUUCUAAUUUAUUUUUCUUUCAACCAAGGAUAAUAUGCAUUUAGGUGUGGAAAAAUGGUGAUUUUCAACCAAAAUUAGCCAAUUAAAUAGAGAGCUUUUAGAUUAUUUUUUUAAUAUAGUAAAAUGAAUUAAAAUAUUUAUAAAAUAAAACAAAAUUUCAUCGUCUAUCUACGAUAGUCCAAAAUAUACUACUAUAUGUGUCUAUCACAAACAGAUGGUAAUAUUUCGUUAUAUUUAUAAAUAUCUUUAGAAGUUUAUUUAUUUGAAAUAAUUUUUCAUUUUUUUUAUAGUGUAUCUAUUAAGGGUAACUUUUUGUUUCAUUUAAUAAAAAUUAGGAAAAACAAUAAGAAUAAAAAAAAAAUAGAAAGAAAGAAAAGGUUAGUCUUAUUAAUAAACCAAAUAAUUUUAGAUAAAACUAUUUUUAGUUCAAAAACUAGGACAGAGGAGACCGAAAAAAGUGUAUUAAGAUAUGCUCAAUUAAGAAAAUAUGAGCAAUGGUUAGAUAAUUUUUUUGUAUUUAAACCAUUACAUACCACCUAGGCUUUGUACUUAAUCUUAAGCUCUCCUUUUCUUUAUUCACAAAAUAUUAAAAAAAUUAUUUAUUUGUAGAAAUGUCAUAGGGCAAUAGUGAAGAAUUUCUUUUUUGGAAAACUCACAAUAAUCAAACAUUUUAGGUUUUACAUUUCAAAAGUAGCGUAUUUUUUAAAAACUUACACUUUUGUUUUUCUGGAGUAAUCUCGGUCGAGAUUGUACCCGUGAUUUUAUGUUUUUGUUUUUAAAAUUCAAAAUAAAGCAUUUGUUCAAAUUAUCAAAAUACCAUUGUUUUUCCAAACGUUUGAUAUUCACUUUGGCCAAACAAGCUUCUCAUUCCGACCGAGCUUGAACGUUUUGCUCUCAAGAUUGACUAAUUUUUGCGUGACAAACCUUGCGAAGUGUAUCCCGCGCUUAAAUCUGUAGAGGUAAUUAAAUUUGAACCAUUUGAUAGUUUAGGGCUUUGUUUUAAAUUUAGUGUUUAAGGUUAUUUGUGAAAUUUGAGGCAAAUGGGUUAUUUGUAUUAUUUCCUUCGACCUAUAACCAUGAUUAACAUUAUCUUGGUACUUCGACUUAAUUAAUUAGGCUAUUAUCCAACUCUUGGCUUCCUUGUGAUCCUGCUUUCGUAUAAUCUUUUCACAUGUGUGAGUACUAGCAUAUACUUAGAAACUUUAAACAUAUCAAAAAAUUUUAAUGGCCCUUAGUUUACACAAACAAACUGAAUUAACGCAUCUUACGACAUAUAAUUUCUUAUUCGAUCUAUGAACACGGUACUAAAAAUUCAUCCUAAGGGCAAUUACAAACAAAUUUUUCACUAACUCUUUAUUUCUUAAAAACAAAUAACCAACUUUAAUAUCUUCAAACUAUGACUCAGCUGAAACGUCAAUAGAUCGAUCCAUCAAUUUUUUAUUAUGCUUCCACUUCUUAACACUGUUGAUUGUUCAUCGUCACAGUCCACUAGGCACUCUAACUGAUCAUCACGAGUCGGGUUUCUAUCACCCACAUGUCCUCUUUCUUCACUUGAUUCUAUACUAAACGUACAUUCAACCCUUGUUGCAAUCGGUGUAUGAUCAUCUAUCAAUUAAAUAUGAUUUACAAAAUGAGUGCUGACAUCCACCUCAGAUACCUCAAACUCCUCAACAUCCACGUCAACAUCAUAAGCAUUCGAUAAAUCUACAUGUACCAUGCUAAUCAAUUCAUUUGCUUUGUCUCUCAAAUCUAAAGGACGCACGUUAGUAGUCAAUGGACUUAAAUCCUAGACCUCAUUCAAGACACCAUUGUAUUUUGGGAUUAAUUGGAGGUUGAGCUCAGGUGACAAUAAUUUAAUGUUUUUUGAACCAUUGGAAUAGUAAUUGACGUCGAAGUACUUCUAGAUUGAUGGGAUGGCAUCAAUACCUUAGAAACCAAAACCGCUACUUGACACACAUCAUCACCAGUUCAAAAAAUUGAAGAUUUUCUUGAUUACUAACAACAGAAGCAGAUACAAUAGGUCAUUAUACAAGCACUUUAGAAUAAACUCGUGCUCAACAUAAUUUAUCCCACAAAUUCUACAAAUUUCUCCUAAAAACUUCUUAAAUUUUAUACUAAUUCGUUGACAUUCAACCCUUUCAUUUGACCUCCAACGUAUUCUUUUUCAGUCUCUUUUCAUUCACCAACAAACAAACAAAUACGCAAGGCACUCUACAAAUAUGCAAAGAAAAAUUAAAAAUACAUCCAAAUCUCAAGGUGAAAUCAUUACACACUCAGUCAAGAUUUGAAACACUAUACAAAUUAUGCGACAAAUACAAAACAACUCAACUGAGAUCCUUAAAUAAAACCCGAGAUUACGUACAAAAAUACCUAAAAGAAAAUGUAAAUUUUAGGCCCUUAGUUUGUAUAGGGGGUUUGUUGUCUAUUGUCGAGAUAUUUGAGGGGUUUGUUGUCCUAACAAAUAUUUUAGGGUAAAAAAAAAAAAGGAAAAUAACAAAAAUAACAUAGCCUAGGUUUUACAUUUCAAAAGGUCUCAUACCAAAAGAGAUAGCUGUCCUUACUUAUAUACCUAUGAUCAUCCCAUUAUCUAAUUGAUGUGGGACUUUGGUCGCAUUACAAUCCUACCCCCAAACAAGUCCUACAUUACAAUUCUUCCCUUGAACAAAUUACUAUGAUCCUCACCUCAAAUAGUCAUUCAUCUGCCAAGCUCUAUCUAAGCUAACUCCUUUUCUCGGAGCACACUGCCCAUCCAAUAAAGUUUAAUCACAUAUCUCAUCAUGACCUACUUUUGAGGUUUUUGAGGCUCUACUACACCUUUGCUCAACACUUGAGGAUCAUACUAGCAUGCUUAAGUUAGAGGCAUGAUUUUGAUAUCAUUGUGGAUGUUUGUUGCCCUAACAAGAAAAAAAAAUUAUAGUUGUUUGACCAAUUUGGUCUACAUCCACUUUAAAAACCAGCUUUGAGGGAUUUUAUUUAGAGCAGUGAAGUUUCAGUUACAAAUAUCAACAAUUAAGCAACAAUCUAUAUUUAUCACGCCAAACCCGACCAUACCAUGACCAAAACACCAAGACACUAAGAGACACACAUGUCGGUUGUUGCCUCUGAUAUCGAGACCCAAAACCCACAAGAAACAACCCCAAAACGAGACCUAGAACUGAUGGAAACAACCUUCUAUGAUUGAAGAUCCACAUGUCGAACACCUAUUACAAAAUACCACAGAUUAUAGAGCACACACAACUGCAUACCACACUCGAAAACUCAUCGCCAAAUGUCAAAAGUGAAGGGAUAAAAGCCCUAUGGUUUAAAGAACCAUUUUUCAAAUUAAUUUGGAAAUCUUAAAAUACCGGUACAUUGGCAAAAUUUUAGAAUCAAAAUUCUAAAUAGAUUCUAAGCAUGCUUUUAAAGAUAAGAUACGAGAACUUACUUUCGAUAACAUCUCUGAAUUUACAAAUCAAUCUCCAAAUUAGGACACCACCCGUCAGAGACCUUGCUAUCCUCUGGGAUGAAAUUGGCUUAUGGGAACUAAUUGAGAUGGAAAAAGGUUUAGAGAUAUUUGGGAGAAACUCUUUUUGCAAAGAAAAAAAAAUGUUCUUUUUUCUUAAUGAACUUGGAUCAAGAAAACUGUUUUCUUCUACAUAUUUAUAGCUCUCUUCUCUUCUUGGAAUAGGAAAAGGAGUAGGAGAGAAUCAUGAGAUUUUUAAUAUCAAAUCUACUAAUUAAUUAACAAUUAACCAAUUAGUUAAUAAUUAAUUAAGUUAUAUUUAAUUAAUAAUUCAUUCAACUCUUAUUUGAAUAAAUAUCUCUCCAACAUCUUAUUAAUAUAAUUAAUUAAAUCAUAUUUAAUUAAUAUAUCUGCAAUAUCAUUUUAUAAAUUUAAUUAAAUCAAAUUUAAUUAAAUAAAACUAAAUUAUUAAUUAAUUCUCCAAUUAAUUAAUAGCUUAGUUAAAUAUAAGAUAUUUAACUUAAAUUAAAUUUGAAUUAUAUUCAAAUAUAAGUUUCUCUCAUAACCAAUAAUUUUAAUAUGAAUCCAAUUCAUAUUAAUAUUUGAACUCAUUCAAAUAUUUUAUCUCUCAUAAAUUAAUUUUGAAUCAUAUCCAAAAUUAAAUUUAUAAUAAAGUUUCACAAACUUUAUAUUAUAAUGUAUCACUGUAUAUUAAACUAAUUCCCUAAGUAUAUUUGAACAUUUCAAAUUACAACCAAUAUAAAUUAAAUCUCAUUACCCUUUACGAGCUAUGAAUGAGACCUAAUGGAUCUACAGAUCAGAAGCUACAAAGAUCUGAGAUCAAUUGGCUAAACUCAUUAACCACAUUAAUCAAUAUUUGUUAAUUGUGUGUACACUCCACUAAAGACUCACAAUUGAACUCUUCUCACUGUAGAUAUAUUUCUAUGUCCACGGAUAUAGACCAAUAACACUAAGUUAGUCCUUCACAAGUGUUCGUAACUCCAGUUGGGUUAAUUUACCGUUUUACCCCUAGGUUACCUUUAAUCCUUAAAUAUUAGUGCUCCUCCAUUGAACAAUCUGUUAAUGGUCUUACCAACAAACAGAAACCUCUCUCGUUUCAUGGAGAGGGUAGGGCCCUUUGUUCAAGACCUGGAGACACCAUGUAAGAGAACACUCAAUCCAUGAAAUUCACUCAUUCCCUACUUACCCUAAAGUAGGGAAUGAGUGAAUUUCAUCUUGUGUAAUUAUGUUCCCAGCUCCUCACUCGGUCUUGUCCCCAAAAUGAUAAGUUUAUUGAGUCGACGAUCCACUCUCACCCAUACAAAUCAAAGGACAAUCCCUCACGAACAGAAGUUCAUUACACACUCAUGAUUAAGACUAAGUUACCUAGGUCAUCCUAGUGAAACAGAAACCUACCUAGUUAAUGGAGUUACAUCUAGUGGUUACUAAUUCGCGGUUCGAUCUUAUGCAAACUCAUUGCAUAGGAUACCCCCACUCACAUGUCAACUACACGAAUGCGUUUGAUCAUUGGGCUUGUAUCAAAUACAAAGUGAUCUGUAUCAAUAGUGUUACCAGGAUAAUGUACCUAGCCUUAUCCCUAUACUAUAGACCCUUUAAGAUGAUUUUGAACAUCGAUCCCUAUAUGUCUCUACAUAUUGUUCAAGACUCAUUAAACAGCUUAGGAUGUUAGUUUAUUGGAUUUGGGUUAUUAAGACAAAACUAAUAAAUUUAAUCAAUAACAAUUAUUAUAAUAAUAACACUUUAUUAAUAACAGGCAAUGUAUUAUAUUUACAAUCUACGAGUUUUAGGACAUAAAUUCCAACAAAAAGAACCGUUAGAACGCCAACGUCAAAUCGCUCAUGACAACGUCAAAAAAAUUCACGGCCAACCCUCCUCUAACAUACUAAACCCUCGUCUACAAUCACUCUUUCCCUUUUUGGUUUUGCUGAAAAGUCACUUUUUUUCUCUUUAUAUGUGAAUGUCGACUGCCUCACUCUAUUAGUGUGUUUUUUCUUUUGGUUGCCCCUCUUCUUUUCUCCUCAAUUAAGAGACCUAAAAUAAAGAUGAAAGUAAUUGCAAAAAUGUCAUUGAAACAAUUUACAAUUCUACCCCUAACAAAAAAACCCAUUUAAAUACUCUUAAAUAAUUUGUCAUUUUCCGCAAAUCUCCCUUACGACAAACUAUUUAAGACACCAAACUCCUUCUCCAAACAUCCUAAUCGAGAUUUAACCUUUAGCUCAUUUAACAAGUAUUUAAACCUAUGAGCUGUAAGAACUUUGGUUAACAUAUCUGGCAAAUUCUCAACUAUAUGAACUUUGAUCAGUUCAACAUCUUUUUUAGCAAUAACAUUUAUGAUAUGAUGAAAUUUGACAUCGAUAUGCUUAGACCAUUCAUGAUGAGAUGGAUUCUAUGCAAGAUGUAUAGCACUCUGGCUAUCACAACGGAUGACAGGAAUAAACUUCUGCAAUAACAACUCACCAACAAUCCUUUUCAACCACAAACAUUUCAAUGCUCCUUCGCAAAAUUUGACAUAAACCUACUUAUCAUAUUCAUAGCAUAACCUAAGUGAGGCCUAGUACAAAUCAUCAAAUACAUAAUACUUCCAAUAGAAUUACAAUAAGGAAUAUUAGACAUCUCUAACCUUUCUUGUUCAAUAACAGGACAUUGAAACGAAGAAAGUUUAAAAUGAGAUGCUAAGGGUGUUGAAAUUGUCUUGCAAUCAUUCAUAUUAUACUUUUUAAGUUAUUUAAGCACAUAACUCUUCUGCAAAAUGGUUAACAAACCUUUGUCCCUGUCUCUUUUCACAUCCAUGUCUAGGAUCCUUUUUAGUUCACCUAAAUCUUUCAUCCCAAACUCAUUACUCAACUGUAUCUUGAGUUCACAAAUUUUAGUAUAAUCCUUAGACACUAUUAUCAUAUCAUCUACAUACAAAAGUAGAUAGAUAUACAUACCUUUAUGAGAUAGUUUUCAGUAAACACAAUCAUCAUAUGAUGUCAUGUGAAACCCCUACUUUAAAAUAAAAGUAUCAAACCUGAUAUACCACUGUCUUGGAGAUUGCUUCAGUCCGUAGAUGGAGUUGUGAAGACAACAAACCAUGUCUUUCUUACCUUUCAUCUCGUAGCCUCUUAGGUUGAGUUAUGUAAAUCAUCUCCUCAAGUUCUCCAUAAAGAAAUGUUGUGGUGACGUCCAUCUGUUCAAUAAACAUAUCAAAGUGAACAACAAUAGAUAAGAUUAAUCUAAUGGAUGAAUGUCUUACCAUCAGAGAGAAAAUCUCAUGAACGUCAACUCCCUCCUUCAUAGUGUAGCCCUUGGCUACCAAUCUAACCUCAUACCUAGGCUUAUUGUUACCUCAUGUACUUGGCUUGAUUUUGUAAAUCCACUUUGAUUGAAUGAGUUUCUGAUUAGGAGGCUUUGGAACCAAUGACCAUGUCUGAUUCUUUUACAAUGAGAACAAUUUUUUGUUUCCAUAGCAUCCUUCUAUUUCUUCCAUUGUUUCUUCGAAUCAAAUACAAUUGCCUCCUCAAAAGUAAAAGGCUCUGCUUCAAUACUGUCAGUUUCACAAGUAAGAGCAUAAGCAACUAAAUCAACAAAAUCAUACCUUGUAGAAGCAUGUUUCACCCUUUAAGCCCUCUCUCGAGUAAGCUGAUUGUUUGGUAGGUCAUUGUUACUUGAGCUUUUUGCACUAGAAGCUCCCCCAUCAAACAAAGUCCUCUUCUAUUGAGAUUGUUCACCAUCAGAUUCAGACUAUUGUAUAGCCUCUGCCUAUGAAACUAGUGGUGACUAAUCACCAGAUACAACUAAACCAAUUGAUCGUUGUACUUUAGAAUUAAUUCUAACCUUUGUCACAACAUGUUCAACUAUAUGCUAUUCCGGCCACUCUUUGACACAAAACGACAUUUCUGUCUCAUUAAAAGUUACAUCUUUACUAUUAAUGCAUUUAUUUAUGCCCUCUUCCAAGCACCAAAAUUUAUAUAACCUUUGACACCCCUGAAUAAUAAAUAAACAUGUAUUUUAGUGCCCUCCUGUUCAACUUUUCAUCCUUAACAUGCUAAUAUAUUAAGUCACAAUUUUUAGAUGUGUGUAAUAAUGGUUUAAACAAGGUUAAUGAAAUAUUAGAGAGAAAUGUGUGUAAUUAGAUUAACAACUUCAAUGUAUACAAGCAGUUUUUCUCAUUUUUUUCUUUUCUAUUUUUCUCCGCACAUUUAAGUAGAAUUACAUCAAAAUUACUUUUAUCAUAUUGUAGAAUUUUAAAAGAAACUAUUUAUUUAGAUUACAUUUUCAAGUAUUUAGUUUAGAAAAUAAGUUAUUUAAAAAAAGAAAAACUGCAAGUGUUUGGAAACCCUCAAAAUAGAUUCUUAAGUGUAUUUUAAACAAUUUUAAGAGUUUAAACAAGAAUGAGUUUCUUGAAAAACAUUUUUUCUUAAUUUAAUUUAAAUGGACCCUUAAUACCACUUAAUUAAUUUAAAAUAGAAUUAAAAGUUGUUUGUAAAUAAAGGACUACCCAUAGAUUAAUUCUCACACUUUUUGUGUCUCACUUCAUCAUCGUUUGUGUGAUUUGUGAAUAUCCCAACGUAACAUGUCAACCUAACGUAAGGUUGUUUGCAGGUUGGGUUAGGUAAAAGGUCUUUUUAGACCCAACACACUUAUUUGGCGUAAAUUUUAUCGAUUCAAAUAACCCUCUAUGUCCAACUCAAUCAUUAAAAAUAUUUAGGUUGGAUUGGUUCGAGUUUGUCAAUGUCAAAUUUAAAUUUUGAAAAAUUAUUUUAAAUAACAAAAUUGUCCAAAACAUUUAGAAAUAUAGAAAAUUUCACAAUUUAUUAGUGAUAAAUACUCAUAGAUAUUGAUUAAUAUAUCAACAACUAUCAAUGAUAUUUUAUAAAUAUUUUUGUUCAUUUUUUCAUCAACAGCCUAAUCAUAAUAAGUAAAAAAUUGAUUUAAUUAUUUUCAUAUAUUGAAUUAAGAUUAACCAUUUAAAUUUUAUUUUAUAUAAUAAAACUUUUCUUUCCAAAAUGUUAAAAAAAAAUAGAUUUUAGAGAAUAAAUCAUUCAAAAAUAAUGAAGUCAAGUCAAUUCUAAGUUCGGUCGAACCAAUAAAUCAAUCCAAAUCAUAAAAUUUUUAUUUAUUUAAACUCGACUCAACUCAAGUUUUUUCAAAGUAAUUGAGUACUAUUCAAAGUUAUUGAGUUUUUUUAACACCCUUAACCAAUCGUUACCAAUCUUAGGGAAAGAAUCAAUUUCCCAACAUUGGAACAUUAAAAAAAUUAAAGUAAAGAAACCAAAAAUAUAUAUGAUAUAAAGAGCAUUUUCAAACAUAGUAAAACAAACUAAAAUAUUAACAAAAUUUCUAUCCUUGUAAUUUUGCUAAUAAAUAAUUUUGUCAAAUUUACUAUCCCAGGUAUAAUCUAUAUAACCAUUUUGGUUUUUAGUUUUUUUACUUUUCAAAAGUAUAACUGAUAAUCAUCGGUAUUUUGUUGUCUACUUCAGGUACAUUUUCAAAAUCGAAAUCAAAAUUUGGAGGAAAUAAAAGUACUCAAAAACUUGCUUUCUGUUUUUUGAAAAUGGGCUAGCAAUACAAAUGCUUAAAUUAAAAUUUAAAAUAAAAAUAAAAGAAAUAAUGCGUAAAAGAUUGUGGGAAAAUAUAUAUAUAUAUAUAUAUAAUUUUAAAAAACGCGAUGGUUAUCCAACAAGCUCUUUAUAUAUAAGUUGGUUUUGUAUACAAAGGUCCCAGAAUUUUUUACUCAGUAAUCAACAAGACAAACAUCGCAUUGUGUGUAACUUAAAGCAUACCAACUCUUUAGGUGAACAAUGGCUGAAAUGCAUCAGGUAAUGGUAUGGAGUAGGAUUAGAAACCAGUUAUUUACAUUUCAUCAACUAUGAAGAAAAAUGGGUAAAAUACAACUCUCAAUCAAUCACCCCAAAACCAUCUCUCCCUUGUACUUUUCCUCAACACUAUCUAUAAACUAACUUCCUUCUAACAAAUUACAAAUCUCAUCCUUCUUCAGCCUUGUACUGCCAAAAUUUGUAGGUGUUCUAUAAAAACCUCCAAGCUUAAAUCAUCUGUAAGGAUUAUGUCUGAUCCCUCCUUGUAAGUUGAGUUUUGCGUAACAGACGGGUUUAACUUAGCCAGAAGAAACCGUGCUUGACUACUAUGUUGGUCACACUUUAUAAGCUUAGGAACUGGAAUACGUUCAGCGAUCAAUUGUUCAGCAUCGAUCUCUGGGGCCUCUAGUAGCUUUCUCAAAUUUUCUAGAUUCGAGUCCUCAUCAUAACCAAGCUUCCUCCACUGAGCAAUCUUUGAACCAUAAUGAAUGACAACGUAGAAGUAGGAAUCAAAUAGCAAAAUCACAUCUGGGGAUAUGGAUCGAAUAUCUAGGAGUACAGGAACAGGAGGUCCAUCAAAAGAGUAGAGGAAAAGAGUAGGUUGUAUCAUGAUAAGUGAACCGACAACUCCCUCACGGUUUAGCAUUAAUCGGAAGAAAGCAGUUUCAUCAGGACAACUGUUGAAGACGUCAAUAAACUGGGAUCUUCUUAGGUAGUACAUGAAUUGAGGGUACAAGGAGAAGUUAGAUGACAAACGGAAAGUUGAAGGAUCCUCUUGUAUAUAAUCACCAAACUUCGAGGCAAAACGGAUUAAUGUGUCAUCAAGCCAUCUGAUAACAUCACGAGCAUAACACGUCUCUGCUCGAUGAAUAGCAAGCCUAGCCAUCACUGAAGCGGCUGCUUCUUGAUCAAACCCAGCCUUGAUUUCUGGUGAAUGGUUUGCGACCCAUCUCCUAGCAGCAGUGGUCACUCUUUUCCGGACCGCUAGGUUUCCUUUUCUGUAUUUUGUUAUAAAUUGGAUGAAGAACGCAGAUCCAGGUUGAACCUUCUGCUCCUCACUCACUUGGAAGAAAAAGGAAAUGCAGGUUUUACUGGACAAUGUAUUCAGCUUCCAAAUGUAAGUACCACCUUCGCCAAUUUCGUUGUCGCUCACCGAACUGUUAGGUCUAUGAAGAGACAUGCAAGGUCCAAGGGCACCACAGAUUUUUACAUCCUUUGAGGUUACUAACUCGAUUGUUGCAUCAAAAUACAUAUUCAAAUCACCAUCUUUAUCUCGACUAAAACUAUGCCGCAAGCACUUCUUGAAUUGAUUCGACUCAAAUGACUCUCCUAACAUCAUGAAUCCACCAGAGUUUUCAACUGGGACUUUUAGCUCUGCUGCUCCAACUUGAUCAAGAGAGCAGGCAAAAAGAUCAAGAACAAUAGAUCCAUCACACAACCUCUGUGACAUUUCCUUAUAGAAACUACAAGAUUUUCUAAAGUAAGGAGCCUGACCAUUAAGAAUGUCUCCAUGCGUUCUGAUAGAGUAAGCGAGAUCCGAAUUGACAACAAUACCUGGACCUACAGUUGCAGGGCCAGAGGUGAAAACCAUGACACGAGAACCCGAAUUUGCUCGGCAUCCUUCAAGAAGUGCAACUGCAGCUGAUAUUGCAGCACCAGUAGCCCUCUGAGGUCGAUGGCCAGGUAUGUUAAGCAAAGUCUUCAUCUCUUCAAUUGCAGUAGUGAUGUUGAACUCACAUUCAGAUAUUGGCAACAAAAAUCCUUGUGCUGGAACAACUGGCGUGUUUCCCAGCUGCAUCUGCUUCAUCCCAUAAAUUCCCAACAAUUGUUGGGUCUGAGGGAUUCAAAAGCAAAGCAAGGAAUCAGAACAAUGUCCCUCGUUCCAUGAUUCAAUUCAACAUCUCUUAAACCUCACUAACUAAAAAUAGUAAAUAAGAUAUCUCUUUUAUCCAGAAACCAAUGCCUUUAAAGUCUCUACAUUAGAAGAUGGUAUCCACAUUGUGCAGUAAAUGGUAUCAGAGACUCGUAACGAUAGAAAAUUAAAACAGAGAUUCAAAUAUUAAAAAAUACCUGAAGUGAUGAGAGCUCACGUUCCCCAGGAAAGAGGACGACCCUUGAGCACUCAGAAAAUUUAAGGUCAUAAACAUGAACCAUUGAAUCAAAAGAAAUCAACCCCACUAAAGCAUUCUCCGGCAGAUGUUCCACAACGAGUAAUAACUCAUUUUUAAGUGCUUGAAGCUCCUUCUCUACAGAACAACUAUCAACAACGAACACAAAAGCGGGCCCAUUUCCACGGGAAUCUCCAGCCGGCAGCGACGAAGAAGCUGAUACUGAAAGAGAAGAAGAUGAAUGAUUCCUUGCAUAGCUAGGGCUCAUAUUGACAUUGGAACCAGAAUUCGCAACAGGGCUCUCCAUCUUUCUACCGGGCGCAUAUUCCACCGUACUGUAAGUCGGAAAAAGCUCUGCGGGAAGAUUAGUCUCCCCAAUACCAGCAUAAGAACGAGGGAACGAAUUCUUCUGGUAGCAAAAGGAGCAGAACCAAAUGCGAGACGUGUAAUCAACACGAGCAUAGGGGUUCAAAACAGCACCACAUUUAAGACACAAGAGAGGUUCAUAAGAAAGUGUAGGGAGCUCGACGGAUUGCAUCAAGGGCGUACACAUAACACUGAGAGGGAUUACGAGAGCCAACGAUUCAGGUUUGGAAACUGGCCAGGAGUUCCAUGACCAUCGGAGGCCUUCGAUCGCCUCAAGUUCAACGAAAUCCAUAGGAAAAUGGACGUCUCAAGCAAAAGCCCUGACCGUCGAUUACAUGGAAAAGCUCCGAAAUGAAAGUAACCCUAAUUUCGCAUCAGAAAGAGGUGGGAGACGCAGAGUGGGGUUAAUUUAAUGGGGGGAAUCCUGAGAAAUGAAGAAAUCGAAUGGCUUUUGCGGUGGAAAAGGAAAAAGUAAAAGAGAAGGGGGUUGAAGUUGGUUGUGGAAGAGAGAGUUUGGUUAUUGGGAAAGUGAAAGAAAAAGGGGAGAGAGUGAAGGAAAAGGCAAGGGUUAGGUUUAGGGUUUGGGAAUGCGAUCGCGGGAAAAAUGAAAGGAAAAUUGAUCGGAAAUGUUGAUUUGAGGGAGAAAAAGUUCAAAAUUAUGUUGGAGAAGAAUUGUUUGAGAGUUCCAGUUCUUCAUCAUCUUCCCCCCCAUUGUUUCUGCUUUCAUUUGGUGCGGGAAGGAAUACUCAUUAAAAGUGGUGAUCCAAGCCUUCCAAUAGUAUACUGCCACGUCAGAGUUACCUUUUUUUUUAAAUUUUAUUUUAAUGAAAUUACUUCUUCCCUGCCAUAUUUAAAAAGUACUUUCGGAUAAUUAAAUCUUUAAACCACACUUGGGAUGCAAGUACGUAAAUUUUAUUUCUAAAUCAAGAUCACUUCACACCUCUAAGGCUCUAACCACUUAUUCCAUACAAUUCAAUAUCUUUUAUAACUUCUCUCACAUAAAUAUCUUACUUUACUCCCAUCAAACUAUUACCCUUUAAUAUAAAUAAUAAUAAAAAGUAGCAUGAGUACCAAAAUAUUGAGAAACUCAUAAGGUGGCCCAAUGAGCCCAUAUGACAAAGGCUUCCAAUUUUUUCUGGCCCAACUAUCGGUUGGGUUGGGUUGGGCCUGACAUGGACCCAUCAAAUAAUUAAAUUAUUUGAUUAUUUGAUUAUUUGAUUAUUUGAUGGAGAUCAUUCAAUUAAUAGACUUCAUAAUCGUUAACAUAUACUAUAAGAUCAAUGGAAUCAUUGAUAGGAUUGUUAAUAUUAAAAGGGGACGUAAUUAGCAUUAAAGAAUGGCAUAUGGAGGGGGGGAAACUGAAGGAUUGUGUUCCGAAGUCUCUUUAUAUUUUAGAAUAAUAAUCAGGAUUAAAGAAUAUGAAUUGAAAGUUUGACUUUUUAUGGUCAAAGAUUAUUUAUGAGAUUGAAUCUGAGUCAAAUAUUCUCAUUGUUCCCUUCCCUCACCUUUCAAUAUUUGUAAUGUAUUCAAAACAACUUUCUAUCCGAUCAUUAUAUUUUCUAUGUACUCAAUAUAUUGUAUACAUACAUAAAUAAAUAAGAUUGACUACUUCAAUUGUGUACAAGUUUUAAUACGGAGAUAACUCUAACUCUAAUUCUAGUACAUUCAGGAUAUAAUUGUUGAAUUAGAUUAGAAGAAAUUGAUUAAACCAAGAAAUAUAAAUGCUACAUAGAGGAUUUAUACAGAGAGUUGGACGUAUAAAAUGAACCAACUAGAUAUACACAACUAUAUAUUGAGAGAAUCCGCCGAUGAGUUAAUACUCAAUUAGCAGUUACACUAUCAUUGUAACAUGUGUAUAUAGUACUCUCAACACUUCCUUUAUGGCUUUCAUCCAUUGAGAAUUCAAAUAGUGCACUUAGUCACUCAGAGGUCGAGGUCUUCCUCCAUAAAUCCUUUUCCUUGAGAUCCUCUGAUCCUCCUAUGAGCUCUUCUCUAUGGAUGUCACUAAGCUCUAGGCUAAGUUGAUCUCCCACGUGGAUUCUUCUUUCGUGAGUUUUUUUUCUUUCUUUCUUUUUUUUGUCUUACUAAGCUCUUAGAGGCUCUACAAUGAGCAUCUUGAGAACCACCAAGCUUACAUUUGUAAGGGCUCAAAUGAGCUUUCUUUGAGCUCUUUUAGACUUCCCAUGAAUACCAAAGCUUUCAUUAAUAAUCUCUUUUAAGCUCUUUAGAGGUCUCAGCUCUAAGCUCUCUCAUAAGCUCUUCUAAGCUUACUUCACGUGUUUCUCUGAGUUCUCUCUAAUCUCUUUUAGGCCACUAUUAAAAAAAUAGACUCUUUCGAUGUUUUUUUAAAGUCAAGAAUUUAUGUUCUAAUUAUCAUUUUUAAAACCAUCCUUGAAGCCAACGUCAAGAAUUUGAAAUUCAUGAUCAUUAAUAAAUGUCAAGAACAAUGAACGCGCUAACAUUUAAUAAACGUCAAGUAUAUUGAUGUUCAUGACAUGUAAAAAACGUCGACAACAAUGUCUCACUUGAUAUGAGAAAAUUUUCAAUAAGUAACUAAAUGUUCAGCUUCAAUCAGCCAAUGUUAUGGUGGAAAGGUUAAAAAUAGAGUUGCAGAUUAAAAAGAAGACUAUCUAAUUGAUUGGGCUAAUCUCUUGUCGAUUGUAUUGCUGAUUUUUUCCUUCUAGUUGUUUGGUGGUGUUUUUCGUUUACUAUUGGUAGAAGAUACGAACUAUUACUUUACUUUCUGAUAUCUGGUUCUUUGUGGGUCGAUCUUUUGAGCUAUGUUUGAUUUUUAGUCAUUUUGUGAAGCCUCUAUAGGUUCAUUUCAUCGCUAUUUCCAAUUCUGGGUACUUCUCUUUCUUUCUUUUGGAUUUUCUCUUCUUGUUAGUUGCUUUCUGGUGUACUUCUCAAUCCCCUUUCAUUUUGUUGAUUCUUUCCUUUGCUUUUUGGAUGGCUUAACUUGUCGUCUCCUUUGAUGUAUUUACUUUUUAGUUAUUCUCUAGCUCUCUAUUGUAAUAUUUUACUCUAAAAGUUAUAAUGCAUCCCUUUUGGUGUUGAAUGUGUUUAAUUAGGUAUGCUUAAGUUAUGUCAUAAUCUCAACGAGCCUUCGCUUCCUCUACCUUUAAUAUCUCGCUAAUUAAAAAAAAACAUUGUUAAAAGUAAAAUAAGAAAACAAAGAAAAUAGUUUUUUAUUUAAAAAAAUAACUCAACUGAAAUAUCAAAGAUAUAUACCGUUCAACCCUAAUGGUUGAAAUUCAAACACGUAUGCUUUAUCUUUAUAACGGUGAGUACAACACAUGACUAGUUGAAUCAUGCUAAAUAAUUUGUAUUUUACAUCAUCAAUUCAUAUAUUCAUUUUAUUUAUCCUAACUUCAUUAAUCCCCCACGUUAAUCAUCAGUCAAAAAAGUCACCAGUUAUAACUUACAAACAAAACAAUGAUGAGAUCAAAGAGCACAAGCAACUUUAAUAUGUCAAUAUAUGCCAGAUCCAAGAAAACCCUAACAUAUUAUAUAUCUUCCUUUCGUAUAUAUAAAAUCUAGAAAACAAAAGGUGUGUCAUUAGCAAUAAUCAAAAUGAAAAUAUUAAUUAUAUAUACCUUGACCCAUAAGUUAAUUAAAUUUGUGCUUCUAACCACCAUCCAUGGCAUAGUAUUCCAGCAUACAUUUAUAAUAUUCAUAUUAUUUGAUUAUGAUUAUUCCCACCAUAGACUAUAUUAUAAAAAUAAAAAUUCUUUAAUUGAAUUUCCAUUACUCAUUGCCCCAUUAACAUGCUGGCACAUGCCCUUGUUCCCUCUCUAUGGGUCCCUAAAUAUUUAUAUAUUUUUUUUCUCCUCACCCAUAAAAAUCAUUACACAAAUACCAUAAAUUAAGGUAUAUAAAAAUAAUACAAAGAAAAAAAAAUAAAAACCAAAAAGAAUCUUCUUUAAUUUAGUUUCUUCCCACAUAAUUAAUACAAUGAGAUUUUAUAAGCAUAAAAACCCAUUUGACAACCAAACAAACAAAUGGGUGUGAUUAUUAAGCAAAAAAAUAAAAAUAAAUAAAAAAAACCUAUUAUAUAUAUUGGAAAAUUAAUUAGUGGUAAUAAUAAUAAUAAUAAUAAUUAAACAUAACAAACAAACCAACCAGACAGACAGUAGGUGAAAGUUUACAGCUUUUCAUGUCUCUUCUAUUACAAAUAUUGUCCCCAACAACAGAUCAUUUGAUAUUUUCCUUUAUAUACUAAUUAAUAAUUUAAACAAAAAACAACAUUAAUUUUUUUAAAAGAAGAAAAAAAAGAAAAAAAAAUACACAGAACAACAUGCAAGUUUCCAAGCUGGAACACCAUAUUCUUCACAAAACCACUUUCUCAAUCUCAUCUCUUCUCAGCUAGCUUCUGCUUUUGCAUUUCUCCAUAGCUCUUGGGGCUGAAAUUUUGAAAAAAUAUAUACAUAUAUUUAUAACAUCAAUACCAAAAUUAUUUUAAUAUUGUUUUUUGAACUAUAACUGAGGUUAUUAUUGGGAAAAUUGAAUUAGGGUUCUUAAUAAUUAAUUACCAAGGCCAAUGGCUUC
This 21656-nucleotide long non-coding RNA is filed under the name Cucumis sativus (cucumber). RNAcentral describes it as "long non-coding RNA (CSAT_LNC000628)". Lineage: Eukaryota; Viridiplantae; Streptophyta; Magnoliopsida; Cucurbitales; Cucurbitaceae. The record is from RNAcentral.